CGCCUAUGAAGAGUGCGCGAGGGACAAGCCCUGUGACCGCACGACAACCUGCCGGAAACGGUAAGGUGCCAAAGCUUGACCGAUAGGAU
This 89-nucleotide non-coding RNA is filed under the name Clostridiales bacterium. RNAcentral describes it as "SAM-I sequence". It matches the Rfam family "SAM riboswitch aptamer (S box leader)". From Rfam's summary of the family: The SAM riboswitch is found upstream of a number of genes which code for proteins involved in methionine or cysteine biosynthesis in Gram-positive bacteria. The SAM riboswitch acts at the level of transcription termination control. The record is from RNAcentral. Lineage: Bacteria; Bacillati; Bacillota; Clostridia; Eubacteriales.